UGACGGGCCCGCACAAGCAGCGGAGCGUGUGGUUUAAUUCGAUGUUACACGAAGAACCUUACCAGGGUUUGACAUGCAAGUGGUAGGAAGCCGAAAGGUGACCGACCUUCGGGAGCUUGCACAGGUGCUGCAUGGCUGUCGUCAGCUCGUGUCGUGAGAUGUUCGGUUAAGUCCGCUAACGAGCGCAACCCUCGCCGUGUGUUAUAAGUGUCACGCGGGACCGCCGGUCUUAAGCCGGAGGAAGGUGGGGAUGACGUCAAGUCAGCAUGGCCUUUAUGUCCUGGGCUACACACACGCUACAAUGGCCAGUACAAUUGGUAGCGAAGUCGCGAGGCGGAGCCAAUCCGUAAAAGCUGGCCUCAGUUCAGAUUGCAGGCUGCAACCCGCCUGCAUGAAGAUGGAGUUGCUAGUAACCGCAGGUCAGCAAUACUGCGGUGAAUACGUUCCCGGGCCUU
RNAcentral lists this ribosomal RNA (455 nucleotides) under uncultured Anaerolineaceae bacterium. Its description in RNAcentral is "bacterial SSU rRNA". It matches the Rfam family "Bacterial small subunit ribosomal RNA", at positions 917 to 1381 of the family's 1533-position model. The record is from RNAcentral. Lineage: Bacteria; Bacillati; Chloroflexota; Anaerolineae; Anaerolineales; Anaerolineaceae.